This 41776-nucleotide long non-coding RNA is filed under the name Nicotiana tabacum (common tobacco). RNAcentral describes it as "long non-coding RNA (NTAB_LNC008398)". The stretch from base 26886 to 26992 matches the Rfam family "Plant small nucleolar RNA R71". The record is from RNAcentral. Lineage: Eukaryota; Viridiplantae; Streptophyta; Magnoliopsida; Solanales; Solanaceae.
ACCCCCCAGGUUCGGGGCGUGAAAAAAGAUAUGUACAAGAGACCAACAAGGGGUCUUACAAAAAAGAAAAAGAAAAAUACAAAAAGAAAAAGAAAAAUCCUAGCUAUGCCCGAGGCCGGUUUCUCCCUCAGGAGCAGCUUCCUCUUCGGGCCCAUCUUCAUUGUCUUACCCUCCUUGCCUGCCUUCAUCAUCAUCGUCAUCAUCGGAGGAGAUGUGAAAUUUGGCAUCAGCUUCGAGCGCCUUUGCUUGAGCUAUCUCUUAAGUGAGGUCAAAACCUCGAGCGUGGAUUUCCUCGAGGGACACGCUCCAAGAUUGGCACUUGGGCAAAUCAUUACUCCGUCGCUCUCGAUCAGAGGCUUCCCUUAGCUCCAUUUGAGUAGCCUCAACAUCCCUUAAGUACACGACAACAGUUUUAUCAGCUGUGACCUUUGUCUUUACGACCUCAGCCCUGGCCUUAGUAAGGUUGACCUCGAGAUCGUCGAUCCUUUUGGCCUGGACCAAACUUUUCUCUUUAGCGCCCUGGAGUUGGGCAUCAACCGAUGCUAGUUUGGCUAAAGCAGCCUCCUUCUUUGUAGCAAGGCGGUCCAUAUUCUCUUUCCACCGGUUGCAGUCUGAGACACUGCAGUAUUCGACUCCAUAGUCGGAUUGAAUAGACCAUACUCUUUCAAAAUGAUAGUUACCUACUUUUCUAGCUCGGCCUCAUCUUCACGAGUCUUGGCCAAGUUUGCCCGAAGGUCCUUGAGCUCCUCCUCCUUUUGACUGAAAAGGAGUUUCAGGGAAUUCCUUUUAUCCGAGGUCUUCUGGAGCUCGGCCUCGUAGUGGCUCAGGUCAGCCCUAACCUAGUGAAAACCUACACAAAAAAAGGAUAUCAAUUAGGGUAAAGGGAGAAGAAGAAAAAGAAAAUUGCAACGAUAGGAAUUAAUUCUUACUUGAGAGAAAAGGCGUUGAGCCUCUUUAAAUAGGGUAGAUGCAUCAUUGAGAUCGGCGGCAUCAUCGACCCCGGUAAAGCAAUCCUGGAAAAGAACUUCUUCACGGGGGACUUCGCUUAAGUCAGGAGUUUGUAGAGCCCGAGCCUCCUUUAUAGCCUCUUCAGAAUAAGCCGGUAGAGGGGGAGAGUGACCUAUUGUCAUGGCCCCGAGCAAAUCGCUUGGGGCACUCUGUUCAGCCCUGGGGGCUUUGGAACCUGUCCCCUUCGGUGUGCUUGUUGAUGGCCGAGGAACAAACUCGACCUAGAGCGAUUCGGGGGAUUUACCCGCGUCUUUCUUCAGAGCUUCCUCACCACGAGGCAGGGUCUCCGGUUCGGAGAGCUUGACAGCUUCAACUAGCUUCCUAGCUCGGGUCACCAACACUGAAUAUUCACCCUCGUCUUCUUUUUCAUCAUUUAGCUGGUGGACUAAGUCUAUAUCCACAGGAAUGAGAUUCCUCCUAUGUCUUCAAGUAGGACCCCUUUUAUCUUGGGGGUCUUCAGGCUUCGAAACCCUUUUCCUCUUAUUAUCUUUCCUCGAUUUUGGAAUCAGGAACUCGAUCUCUUCCCAAGGCGGGGCUGGCCUCAUUUCAGAGACAUCUCCAAUGCCUGCAUGAAUGAAAAUUAGGUAUAAGUUAAGAAGCAUUUCAUAUAACGGGGAAAACAUCAAAAACAUACAAGAAGAACUUACCGUGGUGUUUGGCUUCCCAUCUGCCCCUCGCCAAGUCACGCUAGCAACGCUCGUCAUACAAGGAGGUCGCAGUUGGUUUCCGGACCCAGUCUUUAAGGUCGGCGACCACAAGGGGCAUCCAAGCAACCGCUGCAAAAUAGAUGAAGGCAUCACGCAAUGCAAAAACAGAAUACAAAAGGCUACUAAAAAGCUUCACUUACGAUCGGGGUUACACUUUUCUAGGAACGAUAUUUUCUCCUCAGGGAUGAUGUCGCAGGUCUUCACUCGCACAAACUGGCUCAUCCAGCCCCGAUCUUUAUCCUUGUUGUUGCUAGAAAAGAAGACCUUGAUCGACCGAUGUUGGAGCUUGAUAAACCCUCGAAAAAGUUGAGGCCGAUACAAUCGGAUUAGAUAAUUGAGGGUGAACUCUAGCCGCUCGACCUUGCUGGAGAAAUAGCGAAGCAUGAUCACUAUACGCCAGAAAGAAGGGUGGAUCUAGCCGAGGGUGACCUGAUACCUCUUGCAGAAGUCAAUCAUGAUUGGAUCGUUGGGACCCGACGUGAAGGGGUAGGUGUAAACACUUAGGAACCCCUCCACACAAGUGGUGAUACUCUCCUCGGGGGGAGGGGAUCUGUACCACGACCUCAUCCCCCCAGCCACAAUCCCUCUUCAUGGCCUCUAGGCGCUUCUCCGUUAUCGAGAAAAUAUACCUUGAUACAUGCUCACAUUGGCGAGGAAUCACGCGGGGGGGGGGGGCUGGGUCAACUUUGAAGUCUUUCUUUAUAACACAACAGCCGGGAAGAAGAGGAGGAAGCUGACGAAGCUUGUGUGUAUAGGAUUUUCUGCUCAUACUCUGUCAAAUUCUAGUAUAGUUUAUGAUAUUGUCCCACAAAGGCUGGACAAUCUAAGCUACAGACUUAUAAUAUUUUCACUACUAUUNNNNNNNNNNNNNNNNNNNNNNNNNACCUUGAUACAUGCUCACAUUGGCGAGGAAUCACNCGGGGGGGGGGGGGGGGUUCAACUUUGAAGUCUUUCUUUAUAACACAACAGCCGGGAAGAAGAGGAGGAAGCUGACGAAGCUUGUGUGUAUAGGAUUUUCUGCUCAUACUCUGUCAAAUUCUAGUAUAGUUUAUGAUAUUGUCCCACAAAGGCUGGACAAUCUAAGCUACAGACUUAUAAUAUUUUCACUACUAUUUGAGAGAACCAAAUUGAUGAAAGGUGUGUUUGAAAUUAUAAAUAAGACAAAUUUCUUCCAAAAAGUUUAUAUUUAAAAAAAGUUAGGAAUCGUUGAAUUCACUCGAUAUAUCAUUACAAUAAAAUCUCAGUUUCAUACAUAUUUCUCUAAAGAAUAAUUACUUAUUGCUAAUACAAUUAUAUGUUUACACUAAGAAAUAAAUAAAUAAUUAACACUCCAUGAGGUUAUGUCAAUUAAUUGAUUUAAAACUAGUGAUGAUUAAACUGAAAUAUCUUGCCUGAAUUGUGCUCAAGCGUAGUAAAACAUUCGUGAGAUUAUUUUUACUAGAAAAUCAAUAAUCUUGCCUUCAACAAUUCCUCCGUGAGAAUUAAAACUCAGGAAAGCAAGAUUACAAACUCAAAAUAAUAAUCUUACUUACAAUUACUUUCACUCUAAUAUUCUGUGCUAAAGUGUAGUAAAAACUUCGUGAAAAUAUUUUUACUAGAAAAUCAAUAAUCUUGCCUUCAACAAUUCCUCCGUGCAAAUUAAAACUGAGGAAAGCAAGAUUACAUAUUUGAAAUAAUAAUCUUACCAAAAAUUACUUUCACUCUAAUAUUCUAUUCAUCAGUUAUUAUAUAUUAAGUUUGCUCCGUGAGAAUUAUAAAAUUAAUAUAAGAAUAGCUUAGAUAAAAUAUGUAGAUGUGAUAAUAAUGAUUAAAUAAUUAUUAUUCCAGCACAGUAUGAAAUGUAAAUAGAGUUUCAGGCCAAGAAUGUAUUGAAACUGAGAUAGUAUUAUAAUUAUAUCAAGCUUCAUCAACUAUCCCAACAAAAAGAAAUUACUCCAUUAUGAAGUAAGAAAAGCUGAAAAAUACUUUCAAAAGACUAAGAAUAUUUUUACUACAAAGAGAAAGACUAGAGGAAGAGACUAAGAUUACUCUUCUCUUUCUCUUUAGAAACUUAGAAAACACUAGAUAGGAAUUUAGAUACAAAGUGGGAUGAUCUUUCUUCUACAAACAUAUGCCUAUUUAUAGUAAAAUUUCUACAAGACCUUGAUGAGAAUUUUGCAAGAUAAUAUCAAUAUAUCAUAUGGCCUUGAUGAGAAAUUGACAUGGCAAUUUGUCAUGAAAUUUGGUGAGAAUUUGCCAUAACUUUUGUAUCUCUUAACUUUAUGUAGUCUUAGAUGAAGUUGUCACGUAUGUAUCCUUCUUCCUUGAACUGUAGGUUCUUUCUUUUUCUCUUUUUCCAUAUAUUCUUUUUCUUACAAGAAUUAUUAAAAAAGUAUGAGAAUAAGAUAUAAAUUGGUCAUGUUUUAUAUCUAAAAUAUUAUAUUUUUUAUUAAAAUAUUAAAAUAAUUUAUAUCCAUGAAAUACCCCCACACUUAUAUUUUUUCUCGUCCUCGAGGAAAAGAAUUUUGAAAAAAAUAUAUUACUAUUUUUUGUUUAAAAUUAUGGCUACUCUCGUAAAAUGAAAAUUUAAUCAAAUAAAAUCUAUCAUGCUUUCAAACUUUAUAAAUUUUCUAUAUUCAUCAAAUCUUUACCUUAUUUUUACUUUUAUUUUUAUUCUACAAAAAUUAUACCUUCUUUCGUUUUAGACUUCUCUGAAAUUGAUAAUUUUAUGAUCAUUUGCAUUGAGCAUUCUUCAUCUUUUGUCCAUAGGCUCGUCCUUUAUGUCUAUCUCCACUAAUGUACACUGAACACUGAUUUCUAAAAUCUUUUAGGACUUUAUCUGGCUUGUAAUGUUGUUUUCGGGCUGGUAGGUUAAAUGUUAUAUUUGUAGUGACUUGCUUUUUUCAGUUUUGGAGUAGAAUAUUUCUAAGAUCAGACUUUCCAAAUACUUGCUAUUGAUUUUUUGUUGUUGUACUUAUAAUGCUUGAACGUAAGAUCAAUCUCUCCUUCUUUUUUUCUUUAAUUCUGAUUUUUCUUCAAAAUGAGCUCCAAACUUAUUUUCUAAAAAAGGACUUGUCAAAUGAUAAGCAUGAAUGUGAUAUUUAAAUUUGGUCAUAUUUAGGUAUCAAAAGAAAAAAUAGGUCUUCAAGCUUCAAAAUAGGUGCCAGGAAUUAAUUUUUUUGUAGUAAAGUUUUGUGCAAUAUCUAGAAAAGACUAAGGUAGACAAAGAAAGCCUAAAUUCAUAUUUCAAAAAUCAGUGUUGUCUAGGAUUUUUCCUCGAAAGACAUUUGGGGCAAGUUCUAGCAUAUAGAUUAUAAGUUCUACUUGCUUUUGACCAUAAUGCUUCUAGAUAUCAGAAUGUCUUGCCAAGUAUUGAAGAUAUUUGUUCAUGCCUUCAUAAAAAUAAACUUAAAAACUAUAACGACCCGGCCAGCCGUUUCAUGAGUUACCGCUCCAUUUCCCCCAUUUCUGUUUCUUAUUACCUUGUUCAUCUGUAUUUUGUGUUACUGGGUUGGUUGGUUCGGGUUCGUAGAGGUUUUGGUAAGGUUUGAGGCACUUAGUCUCUUUUGAGAAAGCUUAAGUUGGAAAAGUCAACUGGAUGUUGACUUAUGUGUUAAAGGGCUUGGAUGUGAGUUUCGUUGGUUCGGAUAACUUCGGGAGGUGAUUUGGGACUUAGGUGCGAGAUCAGAAUGUGUUUUGGAGGUCCGGAGUGGAUUUAGGAUUGAAUUGGCGAAAUUGGAAUUUUGGCAUUUUCUGGUUGAUAGGUGAGAUUUUGAUAUAGGGGUCGGAAUGGAAUUCUGGAAGUUACAGUAGGUCCGUUGUGUCAUUUGGGAUGUGUGUGCAAAAUUUUAGGUCAUUCGGACGUAUGUUGAUAGAUUUUUUGAUCGAAAGCGGAAUUUAGAAGAUUUUAAAAUUCGUAGGCUUGAAUUCGAUGCGAAUUUGGUGUUUUUAUGUUGUUUUGAGUGUUCCUAAGGUAGGAAAUGGUUUGAAUGAUGUUAUGAGAUAUGUUGGCAUGUUUUGUUGAGGUCCCGAGGGCCUUAGGUGAGUUUCGGGUGGUCAAACGGACUAUUUCAUGUUGUGGAAAGUUGCAGAAACUGCUAUUUGUGUGUAGCAGACAUUUGGCCUUCGCGUUCGUGAGUGGGCCCUCACGUUCGCGAAGGGUUAGGCUGGGAGGCUGUGAAGUUGGCCUUCACAUUCGCGAAGGAGGUCCCGCGAUAGCGAAGGGUUGAGGCUCAAAGUCAUCGCGUUCGCGAGGUUAUGCACGCGUUCGCGUAGAGGAAAGUUGAGCAGCUAGGUUCAGGUUGGUUUGUUCUUCACGUUCGUGAAUGGGGAGUCGCGUUCGCGGUGAGCAAGGAAGCUAAGUCUUUGCGUUCGCGUGUUGGGAGUCGCGAACGCGAUGAAGGAAAAUUUGGUCAAUGUUAGUUUGUGCUUCGCAAACACGAGGCUUUGAAUGCGAUUGCGAAGAAGGAUUUGAAUGCCUGGGCAGAAUGUUUAAAUAGCCAUUGUCCGCGAUUUUGGGGCUAACUUUCACCAUUUUUGAGAGAUUUUGGAGCUUUUUGAAGAAGAUUGAAGAAGGAAUCAAGGGGGAACACUAGGAGGUACGAUUUAUGGACUUAAUACUCGAUCCUAAUGUGUUUUAUACCUAAUUUAUCUUGGAAUUUAAGCCUAAAAUUGAAGAACUAGGGCUUGUAAUUGGAGACCUAUAAUUUGGAAUUUGAGGGGUCGUUUGUGGUUGGAUUUUGAUGCCUUUGAUAUGAAUGAACUCGGGGAGUGAUAAGGAGUCUAUUGAUGUAAUUUUUAUCGGAACCGAGACGUGAGCCCGGGGGUUAGGUUUGGCCAAUUUCGGGAUUUGUGUUGUAAUUUGAUUUCUUUCGAGUGGGAUUUGUUUCCUUAGCAUAUUUUGAUGGUUUUGCACUAAUUUUGGUUGGAUUUGGAGCAUUCAGAGGCCGAUUCGAGAGGCAAAGGCAUCGCGGGCUAGAGUUUGGACCGGAUUGAGGUCAGUAAUGAUUGUAAAUAUUGUCCUGAGGGUAUGAAACCCCGAAUUUCACAUCGUUGUGCUAUAUUGAGAUGACGGACAUGCUAGAUGGCGAGUGUGGGGUCGUGCACCGGUGGGGAUUGUGACUUAGUCCAUCCCGAAUGAUUGUUUACCGCGUAUUUGAUUGAAAACUAUUUGCUAUCAUCAUGUUUUGGGCCGAAUGCCAUAUUUGGGCCUCGUGCCAACUAUUUGGACCCUUAAGGGAUAUUUACUGGUAUUUCCUCACUGUUUUGAUUUUAAUAUCUGUACUCAGUCAUGCUAUAUUAUACCGUUUUUAUAACUCAGCCAUGUUUACUCUGUUUUAACAUAUUAAAUGAUAUUUUGGGCUGAGCAUCAUGUUUUACUACUGCCUGAGUGGCUUAUGAGAUUCUGACUGAGUAAGGCCGAGGGCCUGUGUUGUGAGGAUUCUUUUGGGUUGGGAUGCACGCUGCAGCAGUUAUACACUAAUUAUGAUUAUGAGGCCGAGGGCUUGAGACUGUACGCCACAAGGUGGCUUGAUAUGAGGCUGAGAGCCUGUUUGAUUAUGCCACAAGAUGGCUUGUUAUUGAGCUUGGGCUGUAAGGGGCCCCUACCGGAGUCUGUACACCCCCAGUGAGCGUGGGUACCCAUUGUGAUGAGACAUAGCCUGAGGGGUUGAUUCUGUUGGUAUUGUACCCGAGGGCGGUUUUAAUGUGUUUAUCUCUUCUAAUUUCCUGUCAUUUACUUGUUUAACUGUUAAAAAGGUGUUUUAAAAAAUCUUAUUCUAAACUAAGGUUUUUUUUAUAAGAUUUCACUAUUUCUUUGCCUUUAUUGGUUUUUACACUGCUUCUUUAUAGCAUGUUGUUGUGUUCUUAUGUGAUUUCUUAUUGCUCAGUCUUCAAUUAUUAUUAUUACUCAUUGAGUCGGAGUACUCACAUUACUCUCUGCACCCCUGUGUGCAGAUAUAGGAGCCUCAGGUCCCGCUAGCAAGUGUUGAUUGCUUCCAGCUUAGGCGGUUCGGAGUUCACUAGGUAGCUACUCGGCAUUCGCAUCCUAGUGCUUCUCCCUCUAUCUUAUUUUCCCUUGUUUUAGUUCUGUAAUAAACUAUGUAGACUCUUCCUACUUUUAAUCGGUUAUUAUAUGCUCAUGACUGGUGACACCGCGAUGUUGGACUGUGUCUAUUCCGCAAAUUAUACUGUCUCACUGUUUACUUGGGAUUUAAUCGUGUUAAAGACUUGAAUUGUGUUAUUUUAAUUGCUUAAAAUGAAUUGGGUGUGUGUAGGCUGGCUUUGUCUUCACGAGAAACGCUAUCAUGAUUGGGUCUGGAUUUAGGGUCGUGACAAGAACAAGAAAGUUUUGUGGUAAAUAUAAAAAAUAUAUAUUUGAUAUAGAAUAAUAAAACUUUUAUUUUGAUAAAUUAACACUUUACAAUAGGCAUAUAUAUAUAUAUAUAUAUAUAGAGAGAGAGAGAGAGAGAUUAUUAGAUAGAUAUAUAAAGAGAGAUAGAGAGAGAUAUAGAUAUAGAUAUAGAUAGAUAAAUAUGUAAAAAUCGUUUUGGCUUUCAAAUAUACAACUACAGAAGAAAGCUUGAAAGAAACUACAGCCACACACUUUUUGCGUACAAAUAACAAGUUUAGUUUGUAUAUAAACUAGAAAAUUACCUGUGCCAACAUAUGAAUUGCAUUAUUAAAUGGUUAACCAACCAGUUAAUUAGGCAUACCGAUCACCAUGGAGUUAUUCUUGUAUAGGUGACUCUAUUUUUGUAGAGGCAUUCAUGAGAUGUUGUGGUUGUACAAUAACUUGGAUAUUAACCAGAUCAAUUGAUUAAGCAUUUAACUAUUUAAAUCUAUGUUGGACUUAUGAGGCUCAAUUGCUUCUCCCUCAAUGGCUACAGGUAAGGAACCAUAGUCCUGAGUUUAACGUCGUCAGCUCGAGUUAUUAAUUGUAGACUCCAUUAAUCUAUCAAAUUGAUAGAUGGUUGUUGCUCAAAAUGCCCUCCAAAAUAUAAUUUUAACCUGUAAUCAUUUACCUUAAAUUUUUCUCCUCCAUUGGUUUGUUGAAUUUCAAUUGGUCUGUAUGGAGUAACAUCUAUAAUAUUGUAAGGACCCGUCCUCCUGGAUUUUAAUUUUCCUGGAAAUAGCCUGAGUCUACUGUUGUAUAGAAAUACCUUAUCUCUAAUUUUAAAAUUCUUUUGUUGGAUUACAUUUUCGUGCCAUGUUUUUGUUUUUUUCUUUAAAAAUUUUGGCAUUUUUAUUGGCUUCUAAUCUAAGUCCUUCCAAUUUAUUCACCUAAGAAAAUCUAUUUUUACCAUCAGGGGUUAAAUCAAAGUUCAAUGCUUUCAAUGCCCAAAAAGCUUUGUGUUCUAAUUCAACUAGAAGAUGACAAGCUUUUCCAAACACUAAUUGAUAUGGAGACGUACCAAUUGGCGUUUUAAAUGCCAUUCUAUAUGCCCACAGCGUGUCAUCUAAUUUUGAAUCCCAGUCUUUUUUGGAGAUUCCAACCGUUUUUUCAAGUAUUCUUUUUAAUUCGCGGUUAGAAACCUCAACUUGCCCUUGUGUUUGAGCAUGAUAUGGUGUUCCUUUUUUGUGAGUCACACCAUAUUUUGACUACAAUGUUGUAAUGUCUAUUCAUGAAAUGAGACCCUUGGUCGUUAAUGAUAACUCAUGGUGUACCAAGCCUGGUAAAAAUAUUUUUCUUGAGAAAAUUAGACACAGUUUGAUCAUCAUUUUUCCUUGUUGGGAUGGCUUCAACCCAUCUUGAAACAUAAUCCACAGCCACACGGAUAUAUUCAAAAGAAUGAGAUGAAGAAAAAGGGUCUAUGAAAUCUAUUCUCCAUACAUCAAAUAUUUCACACACCUGUAUUGAUUGCAAUGGAAUCUUAUCUCUUUUAGUGAUAUUUCUUGUUCUUUGACACCUGUCACAUUGUGCAACAUAGGCACAAGCGUCCUUAAAAAGUGUUGGCCAGAAAAAUCCAACCUCUAGAACUUUAAAAGCAAUAUGAUUUGCUGUAUAAUGUCCUCCAACUGCUCAAUCGUGGCAAUGAUACAAAAUUUUGGUCAUUUCUUCUUCUGGUACACACCUUCUGAUAAUAUUAUCUGCACAAAUUUUAAACAAGUAAGGGUCAUUCCACAAAUAAUAUUUAGCAUCCGAUAUCAACUUUUUCCUCUGUUGGUAAGUGAGAUUUUGGGGUGUCAAUUUUCCAACCAAGUAAUUUGCAAUAUCUACAAACCAUGGUGGUUGAGUCACAAUUGAGUUGAUACAAAAAUAUGUUCUUUAGGAAACUCUUCUUUUAUAUCACACAACUCAAGUGGAGGGUCCUUUAAUCUAAACAAAUGGUCAGAUACCUGAUUCUCUGUUCCUUUUUUAUCUUUUAUUUCGAGCUCAAAUUCUCAGAGAAGUAAAAUCCAUCUUAACAAUCUAUAUCGGGCAUCUUUUUUUGCUAAGAGGUAUUUUAGAGUUGCAUAAUCAGUAAAAACAAUGACCUUGGUUCCUAUCAGAUAGGAAUGAAACUUAUCAAAUGCAAAUACUACUACUAGUAGUUUUUUUUCAUUGGUGGCUUAAUUUAGUUGAGCCUCAUUCAUUGUCCUAUUGGCAUAGUAAAUUGGACGAAAAGUCUUAUCUUUUCUUUGGCCUAAAACAGCUCCAACUGCUGUAUCACUAGCAUCACACAUAACCUCAAAAGGUUGGUUCCAAUCAAGGGACACAGCUAUAUGGGCAGUUGAUAAUUUUUCUUUAAGGGUGUCAAAGGCUUUCAUACAAUCACCUGAAAAUUCAAACUUAACAUCUUUCAUUAAAAGGUUAGUCAGCGGUAAGUCUUUGAACAAUCUUUUAUGAACUGUCUGUAAAAACCUGCAUGACUUAGAAAGCUUCUAAUGCCUUUAACAGUUGUGGGAGGGGGUAAUCCUGUUGUAAGAUUAAUUUUAGCAUUAUCAACUUCUAUCCCUUUAGCAGUGAUUUUGUGUCCUAAAACAAUUCUCUCAGUAACCAUAAAAUGACAUUUUUCCCAUUUAAGAAUUAAGUUUGUCUCUUCACAUCUCUUAAGAACUAAGGUUAAGUGGUGAAGACCAUCCUCAAAACCUUUGCCGAAGAGUGUAAAAUCAUACAUGAAAAUUUCAAGAAAUUUUUUAGUCAUGUCAGAAAAAAUUGCUGACAUGCAAUGCUGAAAUGUGGUAGGAGCGUUGCUGUCACGACCCUAAACCUGGACCCGAUCGUGAUGGCGCCUCUCGUGAAGACAAGGCUAGCCGACUCUUUCCCAUUUCAUUUUUAAGCAAUUAAACAAUAAUAAUUAAGACAUUUAAACAUAGUAGAACUACAAAAUAUGGUGAAUAAUACAUUUUGCAGAAUACAAAACCAACGAAGCCCGAUAUCGGGGUGUCACUAGUCAUGAGAAUCUAAAAAUCCAGAAUAAGACAAGAAUUUCUACAGAGUUCUAUACAAAUCUAAAACAAGGAGAAAUAAGAUAAGGAAAGAAGCUCUGGGCUGCGAACGCUAGCAGCUACCUAGAGAAUCUUCGGAUCCGCCCGAGCUGGAAAGAUCAACACUCACUAGCGGGAUCAGCAACGCCUGAAUCUGCACACGGGGUAUAGGGAGUAAAGUGAGUACUCCAACUCAGUGAGUAAUAAUCAUAAAUAAACGAUUGAGAGAUAUGAAAACACGUAAGGCACAUUACAGGCUAUAAUGAAGCAGUAAAACUAGUAGAAGUAGUGAAGCAGUGAUAAAGUAUAAAGUCAUUUUUAAUUCAGUUUAAACUUCAUGAAAUGCCUUUUUAACAAUUAAGCAGGUAAAUGAUAGACAAAUAAGACAGAUAAGCACAUAAAGAAUUGCCCCUCGGGCACAAUGUUAACAAUACCAGCCCCUCGGGCUAUAUCUCGCAUCACAAUGGGUACUCGCGCUCACUAGGGGUGUGCAGACUCCUGGAGGGGACCCUUACAGCCCAAGCAGAAUAUCAAGCCAUCUCAUGGCAUUAUCACUAGGCUCUCGGCCUCAUAUCAACAAGACACCUUGUGGCGUACAUAUCUCAGGCCAUCGGCCUCAUAAUCAUAAUCAGUGUUUCCUCAGAACAUAGGCCUUCGGCCUUACUCAGUCAAAAUCCUCACAAGCCACUAGGGCAAUAGCAAAACAUGAUUCUUAGCUCAAAAUAUAAUUUACAAGAUCAUUUAAGUGUCAAAACAGAGUAAGCAUGGCUGAGUUAUGAAAACAGUGGAAUAUAGCAUGACUGAGAUUAAGUAUAAAGUCAAAACAAUGAAGAAAUAUCAAUAAAAAUCCCCUAAGGGUUCAAAUAGUUGGCACGAGGCCCAAAUAUGGCAUUCAGCCCAGAACAUGAUGAUAGCAAAUAGUUUUCAGUCAAAUACGCGGUAAAACAGUCACUCGGGAUGGACUAAGUCACAAUCCUCAACAGUCCACGACCCCACGCUCGUCAUCUAGCGUGUGUGUCACCUUAAUAUUGCACAAUGAUGUGCAGCGGGGUUUCAUACCCAUAGGACAUCAUUUACAAUCAUUACUCACCUCAAUCCAGUCCAAACUCUAGUCUGCGAUGCCUUUGCCCCUCGAAUCGGCCUCCACUCGCGUCGAAUCUAUCUAAAAUCAGAAUCACGGCGUCAAAAUAUGCUAAAGGAAUGAAGCCCAAGCGAAAAUAAUCAUUAUACAACACAAAUCACAAAAUUACCAAAACCUGACCCCCAGGCCCACGUCUCGGAAUUCGACAAAAUUCACAUCAAUAGGUUCCUUAUCUCCCCACGAGUUCGUACAUAUCAAAAGUACCAAAAUCCGACCACAAAUGGUCUCUUAAAUCCUCAAGUCUAGGUCUCCAAUACCAAGCCCUAGUUUCCCCAAUUCUAACCCUUAAAUUCCAUUAAUUAUAGCUCUAAUCCGUGAAAUAAUACCAUAGGAACGAAUUUUAGGUCCAAAAUCCUUACCUCAAUGAAUUUCCCUUGAAAUCCUUAUUCAAAAUCGUCCAAAAAACUCCAAAGCCGACUUAAAAAUUGUGGAAUAGCUCAAAAAUCACGAAGGACACAAUUUAUAUGUUCUGACCUAGGCAUUUUCGCAUCUACGGUCAAUCCACCGCAUCUGCGGUACCGCUUUUACGGUACAAGAGCCGCUUCUGCGGUUUUCACUUAUCCUCCAGCUUUCCGCAUCUGCAAUGCACCGGCCGCACCUACGCCAUCGUAGGUGCAGUUCACCAACCGCUUCUGCGGUUUCUGCCUCCCUCAAUUUCUUUCGCUUCUGCGGCCUUCCCCCUCGCAUCUACGAUAUCGCACCUGCGGUCCCCAAUCCGCAGGUGCAAAAAUACCAGAAGCAGAAAAUCUGCAGCUUCUACAAAAAUUCCAAACUCUCUGUCAACCAUCCGAAACCACCCCGAGGCCCCCGAGACCUCAACCAAAAGCAUAAACAUAUCCCAUAACCUUAUUCAAACUUAUACCAAUCUUCAAAACAUCUUAAACAACAUCGUAUCAACCAAAACAAAUCGGAUUCAAGCCUAAGUUUCCAAAUUCUUCUGAAUUACGCUUUUGAUCAAAAACCCAAACAAACCAAGUCGGAAUGACCUUAAAUUUUGCACACACAUCCCAAAUGACACAACGGAACUACUGCAACUCUCAGAAUUCCAUUCCGGCCCCUAUAUCAAAAUAUGACCUAUCAACCGAAAAUCGCCAAAAUACCAACUUCGCCAAUUCAAGCCUACAUCUACUCCGAACCUCAAAAACUCAUUUUGAUCACGCUCUUAAGUCUCAAAUCACCUCCCGAAGCUAUCCGAACCAUCAGAACUCACAUUCGAGCCCUCUAUCACAUAAGUCAACAUCUGGUUGACUUUUCCAACUUAAGCUUCCUCAAAAGAGACUAAGUAUCUUAAACCUUACCAAAUCCUUUUCGAACCCGAGCCAACCAACCCGAACACAUAUAGAACCAACAAACAAAGCAAUAAGAAGCAUAAAUGAGGGAAACGGAGCGGUAACUCAUGAGAUGACUGGCCGGGUCAUCACAUCCUCCCCAACUUAAACAAACGUUUGUCCUUGAACGAGUCAAGAAACAUACUUGAAGCCUCGAAUAGGUGAGGAUAUCUGCUCUGCAUCUCCUGCUUGGUCUCCCAGGUAGCCUCCUCCACGGGCCGACCUCUCCACUGCACUUUCACUGAAUCUCCUUUGACCUCAGCUUUCGAACCUGACGCUCUAAAAUAGCUGCUCGCUCCACAUCAUAAGUCAAAUCACCAUCCAACUGAACCGUUCUGAAGUCCAGAACAUGAGACAUAUCCCCAAUAUACUUCUGGAGCAUAGAAACUUGAAUACUGAAUGCACACUCGAUAAGCUGGGUGGCAAAUCAAGCUCAUAAACCACAUCCCCAAUCCUCCGAAGCACCUCAAAAGGCCCAAUGAACCGAGGACUCAAUUUACCUUUCUUACCAAAUCUCAUGACACCCUUCAUGGGCGAAACCUUCAACAGAACCUUCUCGCCAACCAUGUAGGACACAUCUCAAACCUUCCUAUCAGCAUAACUCUUCUGCCUUGACUGCACUGUACGAAGCCUCUCCUGAAUUACCUUCACCUUUUCUAAAGCAUCCUAAAAAAAGUCUGUCCCCAAUAGCCUAGCCUCACCCGGCUCAAACCAACCAACUGGAGAUCUACACCGCCUCCUAUACAAAGCCUUAGAUUGAGCUAUUUGAAUACUCGACUGGUAGCUAUUGUUAUAAGCAAACUCUGCAAGUGGUAGAAACUGAUCCCAUGACCCUCCGGAAUUAAUGACACAAGCAUGCAAUCUUCAAUAUAUGAAUAGUGCACUCAGACUGCCCGUCCGUCUGAGGGUGAAAAGUUGUGCUCAACUCAACCUGAGUACUCAACUCUCGCUGCACAGACCUCCAAAACUGUGAAGUAAACUGAGUGCCCCUAUAUGAGAUGAUGGAAACUGGGACACCAUGCAAACAAACAAUCUCCUGGAUAUAGAUCUCUGCCAACCGCUCUGAAGAAUAGGUAGUACACACAGGAAUGAAGUGCGCGAACUUGGUCAGCCAAUCCACCAUCACCAAAAUAGCAUCGAACUUCUUCAAAGUCCAUGGAAGUCCAACUACAAUGUCCAUAGUGAUCCGCUCCCACUUCCACUAUGGAAUAUCUAUCCGCUAAAGCAAGCCGCCCGAUCUCUGAUGCUCAUAUUUCACCUGCUGACAAUUGAGACACCGAGCUACAAAUCCCACAAUAUCCUUCUUCAUUCUUCUCCACCAAUAAUGUUGUCUUAGAUCCUGAUACAUCUUCACGGCACCCGGAUGAAUAGAAUACUGCGAGCUAUGGGCCUCCUCUAGAAUCAACUCUCGAAGCCCAUCCACAUUGGGCACACAUAUCCGGCCCUGCAUCCUCAACACCCCAUCAUCACCAAUGGUCACAUCUCUAGCAUCAUCAUGUUGAACUCUGUCCUUAAGGAAAAGCAAAUGCGGAUCAUCAUACUAGUGCUCUCUGAUGCAAUCAUAUAAGGAAGACCGAGAAACCGCACAAGCCAAUACCCGACUAGGUUCCAAAAUAUCUAACCUCACGAACCGAUUGGUCAAGGCCUGAACAUCAACUGCAAGAGGUCUCUCCCCAACUGGAAUAUAUGCCAAACUCCCCAUACUUACUGCCUUUUGGCUCAAAGCAUCGGCCACCACAUUUGCCUUUCCUGAAUGGUAUAAUAUAAUGAUAUCAUAAUCCUUUAGCAAUUCCAACCAUCUCCGCUACCUCAAAUUAAGAUCCUUAUACUUGAACAAGUGCUGGAGGCUAUGAUGAUCAGUAAACACCUCACAAGACACACCAUAAAGAUAGUGCCUCCAAAUCUUCAACCCAUGAACUAUAACAGCCAACUCCAAAUCAUGAAAGGGGUAGUUCUUUUCAUGGGGCUUCAACUAACGAGAAGCAUAAGCAAUAACUCUACCCUCCUGCAUCAACACACAACAAAUACCAACUCUCGAAGCAUCACAAUACACGGUAUAUGAACCUGAAGUUGAUGGCAAAACUAACACUGGAGUUGUGGUCAUGGCUGUCUUGAGCUUCUAAAAGCCUCCUCACACUCAUCCGACCAUACAAAUGAAGCACCCUUCUGAGUCAACUUGGUCAAGGGCGAUGCGAUAGAUGAGAAUCCCUGAACAAAUCGGCGAUAAUAUCCUGCCAAACCAAGAAAGCUGCGAAUCUAUGUGGCUGAGGAUGGUCUGGGCUAACUCUGAACCGCCUCUAUCUUCUUCGGAUCAACCUGAAUACCCUUGCUGAAUACCACGUGCCCCAAGAAAGCCACUGAAUUGAGCCAAAACUAACACUUGGAGAAUUUUGCAUAAAGCUUCUCCUCCCUCAAUCUGUGCAACAAAACUCUCAAAUGCUCCGCGUGCUCCUACUGACUACGCGAAUACACUAGAAUAUCAUCAAUGAAGACUAUGACAAACGAGUUGAGAUAAGAACAAAACACGUUGUUCAUCAAAUGCAUGAACGAUGAUGGGGUAUUGGUCAGCCCAAAAGACAUUACCAAGAACUCAUAAUGACCAUAUCGGGUCCUUAAAGCUGUCUUAAGAAUAUCUGAGUCCCUGAUCUUCAACUGGUGAUAACCUGAAUAGAGAUCAAUCUUGUAGAACACUCUUGCUCCCUGAAGCUGGUCGAAUAAAUCAUCAAUGUGAGGCAAAGGAUACUUGUUAUUAAUUGUUACCUUGUUCAAUUGCCUAUAAUCAAUGCACAUCCUCAUAGUGCCAUAACUUUUCUUCACAAAUAGAACCGGUGCACCCCAAGGUGACAUGCUAGGCCGAAUGAACCCCUUAUCAAGGAGUUCCUAAAGUUGCUCCUUUAAAUCCUUCAACUCCGCUGGUGCCAUAUGAUACGGCGGAAUAGAAAUAGGUUGAGUGCCUGGCACCAGGUCAAUACCAAAAUCAAUAUCCCUGUCCGGUGGCAUGCCCGACAGGUCUGCAGGAAACACAUUGGGAAAAUCCCUCACAACUAGAACAGAAUCAAUAUUGGGAGUCUCUACACCGACAUCCCUCAUAAAGGCUAGAUAUGAAAGAAAACCCUUCCCAACCAUACACUGGGCUUUCAAGAAUGAGAUCACUCUACUAGGAACAUAAUCAGUUACACCUCGCCACUCAAUCUGUGGCACACCCGAUAUAGCCAAUAUGAGUGUCUUAGCAUGACAGUCCAGAAUAGCAUUUCACGGAGAUAGCCAAUCCAUGCCCAAAAUGACAUCGAAAUCCACCAUACACAAUAAUAAAAGAUCAACUCGGGUCUCUAGACCCCCAAUAGUCACCACACACGACCGGUACACAUGGUCUACAACAAUAGUAUCGCCCACCGGGGUUGAUACAUGAACAGGUGAAACAAGAGACUCACGGGGCGUACCCAAAUAACGAACAAAGUAUNNNNNNNNNNNNNNNNNNNNNNNNNGACUGAAAUAAUACCUGUAAUGACAGCAUCGGAAGCAAUAGCAUCGAGUCUAGAUGGAAGUGCAUAGAAACGGGCCUAACCGCCACCUGAUUGACCUCCCCCUCUGGGAUGGCCUCUAGCUGACUGACCUCCACCCCUAGCUGGGUGGGUGGGUGAUGAUGAAGUAACUGGUGCUGAAGCCGAUGACUGACCCCUCUGCUGAGAUGAACCCACAAGACGCGAGGACACUGCCUCCACAUAUGGACCAUCUCUCCACACUCAUAACAACUCCCAGGUGUUGGAGAAGGGGACUGAAGGGAACCCCUAGCACCGGAAUGACUAGCAGAUGCACUUGGCAUAGAAGAGCCCUAAACUGAUGGAGCACGGGAUAAACUCUGAGCUGGAAGGGAACUAAGUGAUGACUGGCCCUAAUGAGAACUGUGAGAAUCAUGACCCGAUGACACCCCACGAUUACCUGGGCGAGGUAACUAGGCAUGCCUGAAUGGAUGGCCUCUGCUGUGCUGAAACUGACCUCUCAAAGGAGUACCACUAUAACUACUAGAUCCUCAAGGCCUCUUGGCCUCCCUCUCCUCUCACUCCUAGCGACGAAAAUACUCAAUCUCACGAGCAAUGUCCACAACCUCCUCGAAGGUAGCACCAGUCACCCUCUCCCUCGUCAUGAGAAUAUGAAGUUGAUAAGUGAGGCCAUCAACGAACCUCCUAAUCCUCUCUCUAUCUGUCGGAACCAACCAAAUAGCAUGACGAGCUAACUCGGAGAACCUCAUCUCAUACUGCAUCGCAGUCAUCUCUCCCUGACGCAGCAACUCAAACUCCCUACGCAACUCCUCUCUGCGAGACUGUGGUACAUACUUUUCCAGAAAGAGAACGGAGAACUGCUGCUAGGUAAGUGGUGUUGCACCAAUAGGCCUAUGCCUCUCAAAGGUCUCCCACCAAGUGAAGGCAGCUCCAGAAAACUGAUAAGUAGUGAAAGCAACCCCGCUGGUCUCUAGAAUACCCAUUGUACGAAGCAUCCUCUGACACUUAUCCAAGAAACCCUAGGCAUCCUCACCCUCUGCACCACUGAAGGUUGGAGGCUGAAGUAUAUCAAACCUUUCCAACCUACGCUGUUUGUCCUCUGGUAUGGCAGGAACUACAUAGUCCCGAGAAGCUACGAUCGACUGGGCUGGAUGCGCCCCCGGUGUCUGAAGUCCCUGGACGACCUACUCAGGUGUGCGAGCAUCGGGAGUUUGAUUGCCUCUCUUGGCCUGAGAAGUAGCUGCGGCUGUAGUAGCUGAGAUCGCCUGAGCUAGGCUAGUGCAAACUGAUAGGAUCUGAGCCAAAGCCUCCUAAAGACCCGGAAUCACAAUGGGUACAACUGGUGCCUGAGCUGGUGCUGCUAAAGCAUCCAUAACUAGGACCUGAUCCUAAACUGGGGCGGCUGGUGGAUCUGCAGGUGCUGCUCUAGCUACUGUGUGGGCCACACCUCUGCCCCUACAACGACCAUGUCCUCGGCCUCUAGUGGCCAUGGUUGGUGGUACUGGUGGUUGUCCAUCAUAACCGGUAGAGCGUGUCCUCACCAUCUGUGAGAGAAUAGAAUGAUAGAAGUUUAGUACUCACAUCAACAAAUUCGCACGACAAAAGUCUCAAGAAUGUGAAGUUUUUCCUAAAGGUUUUGUAGCCUCUCGAGGAUAAAUACAGACGUCUCUAUACCGAUCCGCAAGACUCGACUAAACCUGCUCAUGACUCGUGAGAUAUAUGUAACCUAGGCUCUAAUACCAACUUGUCACGACCCUAAACCCAGACUCGGUCGUGAUGGCGCCUCUCAUGAAGAUAAGGCCGGCAGACUCUUUCCCAUUCCAGUUUUAAGCAAUUAAACAAUAAGAAUUAAGCCAUUUAAACAUAAUAGAACUCCAAAAUACGGUGAAUAAUACAGUUUGUAGAAUACAAAACCAACACAGCCCGAUACCGGGGUGUCACUAGUCAUGAGCAUUUAAAAAUUCGGAAUAAGACAAGAAAGUCUAUAGAGUUCAAUACGAAUCUAAAACAAGGAGAAAUAAGAUGAGGGAAGAAGCUCUGAGCUGCAAAUGCCGACAGCUACCUAGAGAAUCUUCGGAUCCGCCCGAGUUGGAAAGAUCAACACUCACUAGCGGGAUCAGCAACACCUGACUCUGCACACGGGGUGCAGGGAGUAAAUUGAGUACUCCAACUCAAUGAGUAAUAAUCACAAAUAAAUGACUAAGAGAUAUGAAAACAUGUAAGGCACAUUACAUGCUAUAAUGAAGCAGUAAAACCCGUAGAAGCAGUGAUAACAUGUAAAGUCAUUUUUAAUUCAGUUCAAACUUCAUGAAUGCCUUUUUAACAAUUAAGCAGUUAAAUGACAGACAAAUAAGAUAGAUAAGCACAUAAAGGAUUGCCCCUCGGGCACAAUGUUAACAAUAUCAGCCCCUCAGGCUAUAUCUCACAUCACACUGGGUACUCGCGCUCACUGGGAAUGUGCAGACUCCUGGAGGGGCCCCUUAUGGCCCAAGCGCAAUAUCAAGCCAUCUCGUGGCAUCAUCACUAGGCUCUUGGCCUCAUAUCAACAAGCCACCUCAUGGCGUACAUAUCUCCGGCCCUCGACCUCAUAAUCAUAAUCAGUGUUUCCUCACAACAUAGGCCCUCAUUCUUAAUCAGUAAAAAUCCUCACAAGCCACUCGGGCAAUAGCAAAGCAUGAUUCUCAGCUCAAAAUAUCAUUUACAAGAUCAUUUAAGUGUUAAAACAGAGUAAGCAUGGUUGAGUUACGAAAACAGUGGAAUAUAGCAUGACUGAGUUCAAGUAUAAAGUCAAAACAGUGAGGAAAUAUCAAUAAAAAUCACUUAAGGAUUCAAAUAGUUGGCACGAGACCCAAAUAUUACAUUCAGUCCAAAACAUGCUGAUAGCAUAUAGUUUUCAGUCAAAUACGCGGUAAAACAGUUACUCGAGAUGGACUAAGUCACAAUCCCCAACAUUACACGACCCCACGCUCGUCAUCUAGUGUGUGAGUCACCUCAAUAUAGCACAACGAUGUGCAAUCCAGGGUUCUAUACAAUUAGGACAUCAUUUACAAUCAUUACUCACCAUAAUCUGGUCCAAACUCUAUCCUGCGACGCCUUUGCCCCUCGAAUCGACCUCCACUCGCAAUGAAUCUAUCCAAAAUCAGAAUCACAACAUCAAAAUAUGCUAAGGGAACGAAGCCCAAGCGAAAAUAAUCAUUAUACAACACAAAUUCGAAAUUACAAAAACCGGACCCUUUGACCCAUAGCUUGGAAUUCAACAAAAUUCACAUCAAUAGGUUCCUUAUCUCCCCAUGAGUUCGUACAUAUCAAAAGUACCAAAAUCCGACCACAAAUGGUCCCUCAAAUACUCAAGUCUAGGUCUCCAAUUCCAAGCCCUAGUUUCCCCAAUUCUAACCCUUAUAUUCCAUUAAUUAUAGCUCUAAUCCGUAAAAUAAUACCAUAGGAACGAGUUUUAGGUCCAAAAUCCUUACUUCAAUGAAUUUCCCUUGAAAUCCUUUUUCAAAAUCGUCCAAAAACCUCCAAAGCCGACUUAAAAUGGUAGAAUAGCACAAAAAUCGCGAAGGACACAAUUUAUAUGUCCUGACCCAGGCAUUUUCGUGACUGCAAUCAAUUCACUGCAUCUGCGUUACUGCUUUUGCGGUCCAAAAGCCGCUUCUGCGGUUUUCACUUAUCCUCCAGCUUUCUGCAUCUGCGAUGCACCAGCCGAACCUGCGCCAUCGUAGGUGAAGUUCACCAACCGCUCUUGCAGUUUCUGCCUCCCUCACUUUCUUCCGCUUCUGCAUCCUUCCCCCUCGCAUCUGCGGCACCGCAUUUGCGGUCCCCAAUCCGCAUGUGCGGAAAUAGCAGAAGCAGAAAAUCUGUAGCUUCUACAAAAAUUCCAAACUCUCCAACAAUCAUCUGAAACCACCCCGAGGCCCUCGGGACCUCAACCAAAAGUACAAACAUAUCCCAUAACCUUAUUCAAACUUAUACCAAUCUUCAAAACAUCUCAAAUAACAUCGGAUCAACCAAAACACAUCGAAUUGAAGCCUAAAUUUCCAAAUUCUUCCGAAUUACGCUUUUGAUAAAAAACUCAACCAAACCACGUCCGAAUGACCUGAAAUUUUGCACACACAUCCCAAAUGACACAAUAGAACUAGUGCAACUCUCGAACUUCCAUUCCGACCCAUAUAUUAAAAUCUCACCUAUCAACCGGAAAUUACCAAAAUACCAACUUCGCUAAUUCAAGCCUAAAUCUUCUUCGAACCUCAAAAACUCAUUCCGAUCACGCUCCUAAGUCUCAAAUGACCUCCCAAAGCUAUCCGAACCAUCGAAACUCAUAUCCGAACCCUCUAACACAUAAGUUAACAUCCGAUUGUCUUUUCCAACUUAAUCUCCCUCAAAAGAGACUAAGUGUCUCAUAUCUUACCAAAUCCUUUCCGAACCCGAGCCAACCAACCUGAUCAUACAUAGAACCAACAAACAAAGCAAUAAGAGGCAAAAAUUGGGGAAACAGAGCGGUAACUCAUGAGACAACUGGCAGGGUCAUCACAGUUGCACAAACCAAAUGGCAUUCUCCUAUGUGCAUAUGUUCCAUGAGGACAUGUGAAAGUUGUCUUAUCUUGAUCUUUUGGUGCGAUUGGGAUUUUGUUAUACCCUGAAUAGCCAUCGAGAAAAUAAUAAAAACUAUAUCCUGCAAUAUUUUCCUACAUUUGAUCAAUAAAUGUCAAAGUAAAGUGAUUUUUUCUAGUGGCAUCAUUGAGACGUCUAUAAUCUAUACAGACUCUUCAUCCUGUGACAGUCCUGGUAGGUAUUAGUUCAGUAUUUUUAUUUUUUAUCACUGUCAUACCUCCAUUUUUUGGUACAACCUGAACAAGACUUACCCAAGGCUGUCUGAAAUAGGGUAAAUAAUACUUGUCUCACCUCAAUUUGUGUGCGCAGUCCAGGUGCAUUUCCGGAAAAGCUAUUAUGUGAAAACUAAGUAAAAUAAGGAAAUUUGCUUUUAAAAUUGAAUAAAGUUGACUUUGCUCAACAGUCUUGGUAAACAGACCCAGACCCGUGAUGCAACUAUCUCGUAGGAUCCAUAGUAAAAUUUGGGACUUGGGCGUAUGCUCGAAAUCGAAUUCCAAGGUCCCAAGCCCGAGAAAUGAAUUUUUGAAAGAAAUUGUUUAACUGAAGUUAUAAGAGUUUUUGGAAAUGAAAAGAUGUUUCAAAUUGAUGGUAUCGGGUCCGUAUUUUUAUCUGGAGCUCGGUACAGGUCUUAAAUAAUAAUUAAGUUGAAUCUGUGAAGUUUGGUAAGAAUCGGAGUUCGUUUAGUAUAAAUCAAACCUUUAUUUGAGAAAUUGGAAAUUUUGAUGUUCUCGAGUGAUUUCAUGAAUUUGAGGCUUAAUUCAUAGUUGUUGAUGUUAUUUUGAUGAUUUGAUCGCACGAGCAAGUCUGUAUGAUGUUUUUGGACUUGCGUGCAUGUUUGGUUUAGUGCCUCGAGGGCUCGGGUGAGUUUUGGAUAGGCCACAGAGUGAAAUUGGAUUUAGGAAAACUGUUGUUGUGUUGCAGGUCUGCAGGCUUCGCAAUUGCAAAGCCUGGCUCGCAAAUGCGAGCUCGCAUUUGCAAAGAAACAUCACAAUUGUGAUGAUGGACUGGGAAAGGGAGACCUUCGUAUAUGCGAGGCUCAUGUCGCAAAUGCGACCUUAACAGGCACCACAAUUGCGAACAAUUGUUCGCAUUUGAGAAGAAAGCAGAGGUGGGCCUUCCUUGGUAAUUGCGAAGCUUUGGCCGUAAUUGUGAGUUCGCAUUUGCGAACAUGACAUCGCAAAUGCGAUAUCUACGCCUGUGUAAAAUCAAACUUAGACAAAAAUUCUUCAUUUUUCAAACUCCCUCGAACCCUAAGCUCUCUUGGGCGAUUUUCAAAAGAAUAGUUCUUCUCCAAAUCGAUUGUAAGUCAUUUCUAACUUAUUUUAUUCAAUCUAUAACAUCUUUUCACAUGAUUUCAAUUCAAAAUCAAGGGUUUUCAUGGGGAAAUUGGGUGUUUUGGGUAGCACUUAGGAUUUUCAUAUUUUGGGGAUUUGGACGUCGAUUUGAGGUCCAAUUUCAAAACAAAUUAUAUAUUUGAGUUCGUGGGUGAAUAGGUAAUCGAGUUUUGGUUCAAACCUUGGAUUUUGACCAUGUGGUCCCGGGGUCAAUUUUUGUCUUUUUGGGAAAAAGAUUAAGUAAAUUGUGGCUAGAUACAAGCGAAUUGGUGGCGGAAACAAAAGGUAAAGCAGUAGUUGAGGCUUGAAUUGUGUUUGUGGCAUUGAGGUAAGUGUUUGGUCUAACCUUAGCUUGAGAGAUUAGGAGUUGUAUCUUAUUUUCUAUGUGUUAAUUGUUGAGUACAACGUAUAGGUGUGGUGACAAGUAUCUAUACGUUGGUGUCAAGCAUGCCCGUGAGUCUUAUACUAUGAUUAAUGUGACUCUGUUUCGUAUUGUUCAUGCUUUAUAUGAUGAUUUCUAUCGUUGAACAAGGCCUGUGGAAGUAUUAUUGGUAAUUGAACAUUGUAGAGCAUUGGCUCAAGUUGAGAAUUGAGGUGUGAAGUAAUUGUGUAAAAGAGAAGAGGUUUAUGAUAUUGUCUCCCUUGCCGAGAUGUUAUUUUUUUUGAUAUUAUCUCCCUUGCCGGGAUGUUAUUACUCAUGAUAUUGUUUCUCUUGCCAGAAUAUUGUUAUUAUGAUAUUGUUCCCUUGCCGGGAUUUUAUUGUGAUAUUAUUGAUUCCCUUGCCCAAAUUGCUUUGUGGUUGUUGCUUGGGUGAGGAAGAGUGUAAAGCACUAAGGGUGACGAUGUGCAUGAUUUUAAGAGUAUUAAUGCACGAAGGGUGAUGUUGUGCCAAUAUUGUGAGGUAAAAGCAUGAAAGGUGAUGUCGUGCCACACGAUAUAAAAUGUCGUGCCACACGAUAUAAAAUGUCGUGCCAUGAUAUGAUUGAUAUUGCACGAAGAAUAAUUCCGUGUCAUGAUUAUGUGAGGUAAAAGCAUGAAGGGUGAUGCCGUGCCGAUUAUAUUGAUUUUUAAGGUGAGAACGAGAGUAAAAGCACGAAGGGUGAUGUCGUGCACUUGUCAUGAUUUCCUUAUUCUUGCUUAUAGUUGAAUUUUCGUGUUCCUUUCACUUAUUUACUGAAAUUUUGUUACAUGAUAUUCCCCGCAGCAUGUUUCCCCUUCCCAUAUUUAACUACUAGUAUUUGUCAUUAUUACUUGCUGUAUAUGAUAUAACUUCACAAGUUUUAUUUGGUAGUCUUAUCCUAGCCUCAUUACUACUUCGCCGAGGUUAGGCUAGGCACUUACCAGCACAUGGGGUCGGUUGUGUGAUACUACACUCUGCACUGUGUGCAGAUCCCGAUGCUGCAGCUUUGGACCACAAUGAGGUUGCUGCCUUCAGUCCAUCAGGCGACCCGAGGUAGUCCUACAGGCGUCCGUAGGCCUUGGCGUCCCCUUCUUAUCUAGUAUUCUUUUGUUCUUUAUCUUCUAGAGACAGACAUGUAUCUAUUUUUUUCUAACCCUAUUUGUAGUAUUCUUAGAUACUCUGUGAUAUUGUGACACCAGUUCUGGGCAGCUUAUGUUUAUGGAUUUGUAUCGGUAUUAUUUUAAAUUGUUAUAUUUCAUUCUUCUGCUUUAUUAUUUCCGUUGUUUAUAAAAUGUUAACUCUUAAUUGUUAAGGUAUUAAAAAUGAAAAGAGUUAAAUAAUUGGUAUAAUUGGCUUGCCUAGCUUUCAUUAGUAGGCGCCAUCAUGACUCCCGGGGGUGGGAAAUCCGGGUCGUGACACCUUUGGGGUUGGACUAUCGGUUUGUAGCUAUCCUCUAUGAGGAUUUUGUGUGUACAAAUUGCUGGAUUAAUCCCUUUGAUAUCUUUUAUAGUCCAUUACAAGCCUACUUUGUGUGCUUUCAAUACUUCAAUCAAUCUUUCUUCCUAUUCUAUAGUUAGAGAAGAUGAAAUAAGUACAAGGAAUAACUCAUGCUCAAGAUAGACAUAUUUCAAAUGAGAAGGAGAGUUUUGAGUUUAAUUUUUGGUUGAACUUCUUCUAAUUGCAUGUUGCCUUACUCAUAAUCUUAUUCCAAUAAUUUUGCAUCAUUUCUGAUAGCCGGAUCUUCAUCAUGUGUGGUGCCAGAUUUGCCCAAACAUUUUUCAAUUGAGUCAGAAAUUAAUUGAUCGUCUUUGAAUUCAUCUAUAAGAUUAUUAAUCAUGUCAAUUGAAAAGCAUGAAGAUGAUGUAUCAUCUUUUGAGAAUCUUAGUAUCUUUUGCAUAUCAAAAAUAACUCUUUCUUUAUCAACUCUUAAAAUUAGUUGUCCUUGAUGGACAUCUAUGAUUGCCCUGUCUGUUUCAAGAAAUGGUCUACCCAAAAUAAUUGGUUCAUCAAAACACUCCUCCAUUUCAAGUACUGUGAAAUCUAUAGGAAAAACAAGUUUAUCUACUCUUACAAGUACAUUUUCAAUUAUUCCCUUUGGUCUCUUAGUACUUUGAUCAGCAAAUUUAAGUGAAACACCUGUGUCUUUCAUUUCAUCAAGAUCUUAUUUUUUUAAAAUAGAAAAUGGCAUCAAAUUUAUUGAAACUCCAGAAUCACAAAAUGCUUUUUCAAUGUAUACUCCGCCCAGAGUACAUGGAAUUGUGAAACUACCUGGGUCACCGAGUUUUUGUGGUAGCUUAUUUUAAAGUAUAGCACUGCAUUUUCAAUAAGCAUUACUACAGAAACUUAUUCCAUUUUCUUUUUGCUUGAUAAAAUUUCUUUUAGAAAUUUGGCAUAUGAAGGCAUUUGCAAUAAAGAAUCAGUAAAAGGAAUGUUGAUGUGAAUUUGUUUUAAAAUCUCCAAAAACUUUGCAAAUUGAUUAUCCAGCUUUUCUCUUUUCAUCUUUUGUGGGAAAGGAAUUGUAACAGGGAAAGAAGUCAAAUUUUUAGUAUUUUUUUUCUUCAUUUUUCUUGGCUUCUUUCUCUUCUGAUGGUUGAGAGGGUGUCUCAACAUUCUCACCAUUGCCUACCUGUUAUUCUGAUUGAUUCUUUUAUUGUUUGUUUGCAUAGGGUUCAUCAAAAGUCAUACCUGACCGUAAGCCCAUGGCCUUAAGGUGUUCUUUUGAAUUUUCUCUAUAUUGCUCGGUAAAGGACCUUGAAUCUUUUCAGACACAAGAGUUGUCAAUUGGCUUAACUGAAUUUCAAGAUUUUUUAGAGCUGAAUUUUGACUUUCCAUUUUUUCAUCCGUAACCUUAAUGUACUUGUACAAAAGGUCAUAAAGACUUGGAUGGCCUUGUUGAGGCCUUUGCUGAUAUUGAGUUGCUUGCUGAUAAGGCCUGAAAUUUUGUUGUCCACAAUUUUAAUUUUGAUAUCCGGGUGGACUUUGUACAUGUUGUUUUUGCUAGUUUUGAGAGUUUUCAGCACCAUUUGCAUUGCUCCAUUGAAAUCCUGGAUGUUUUUGUGCUAAUAGACUUCCAAAAGGAUACAGCUUAUAUCUGAUAACAUUGACCUGUUCAUUAUUUUAAUUAGUUUCUUGACAUUCAUGGUUUAGAUGGUUUCCUCCACACAAGUCACAAGCCUCACACUGGCUUGGUUGUUAUGUAUUUACCUGAAAAGAUUCAAAUAUUUGUGCCAAAGAAAUAAUUUGUUGUGUUAGUGUAUUUAAAACAUCCACCUGAUUUACUGUAGUAGCUUUCUUAACGAUUACACGCUCAGAUGGCCACUGUAUGGUAUUUUCAGAAAUUUCAUUAAGCAAUUGCAAUGCUUCUUCUGUGGUUUUUCCCAUUAUGGAACCUCCUGCAUCUGCAUCUAUUAUAUUUCUAGAAAAAGGUUUUAACCCAUGAUAAAAAAUAUAGAACUGCAUAUGUUCAGGAAUGUCAUGGUGUGGACAUUUCCUUAACAUUGCUUUCAAUCUUUCCCAAGCUUAAUAAACUGACUCAGUGUCAGUCUGCAAGAAGUUAGAUUUAUCUUGUCUUAACUUUGUUGUUUUAGCAGGGAAAAAAUAUUUAUUUAAAAAUUUCUGAGUCAUUUGGUCCCAUGUGGUAAUAGACCCUUGCGACAAACUUCAUAACCAAGUUUUGGCCUCUUCUUUUAAAGAAAAAGGAAAUAGCCUUAACUUAAUUACCCCAGGAGUUACUCCAUUAUGCUUUGCAGUUUCAACCAAUUCUAAAAAGUCAAUUAAAUGACUAUGUGGAUCUUCACUUAGAUCACCAAUGAAAAUACAAGAUUGUUGAAUUGUUUGAAUCAGGCCUGUCCUGAUUUCUAAGUUAUUGGCUCCUACUGGAGGUUUCCUGACACAAGAUUCAUAGUUAAAGCGAUCAGGUCUAGCAUAAUCCCUUAGAAUUCUGUUUGUUGGUCUUGGCGCCACUUCAUCAAAUUGUUCCUCUACAUGAGCUGGUGGUGGAAUUUGUAGUGGAUUGUUAUCAUCUUCUAAUUGGUGCUCCAUUUUAUUACAAUUUAUGUUUUGAAAUGAUAUUUCUCCUUUCCUGCACAAUCACAAACUUUUUUCAAUUUCAGGAUCGUAAUUGGCCAACUCUGUUGUAAAAGAGCGGGUCAUAAACUAUCUGAAAUUAAAGUAAAAUAAAGACAAUUCCUAAAAUAGUAAUAGAUAAUUUUAAAAAUAAAUAAUAAAAAAAUAGUACGGUAAUAUUAUAGUUAACUAAAACAAUAAGUUGUAACUAACCAUCAAAAGAAAUAAUAUAAUACUAAUUAUAUUAUAUGAAAAAAAACUUCAAUAACAAAUCAAGUAUGCUAAAGGAUUGAAGUACUAUCAAUUAAAAAAAGUUGAAUAAAAUAUUAUUUUAUAAAAAUAUAGUAAAAGUAAAAGUUAUAAUAAUAGUAAUAUAGAAUAGUACAAAGGAUACUUUUAGCACUAGAAUAGUAAAAACAAGUACUUACAAUUAUAAUAAUAAUAAUAAAAAUAAUAAAAUAUACUUAAAAAUGACAAAUACAAAAAUAGUGAGAUUGUGAAUCACAAAACUAAUAUAUUAUACUAUUAUAUAGAUAUUAGUACUAAUAAUAAUAGUAUAAUAAUAAAAUAUAAAAUAAAGUAGGUUGAAGUACUAACUAUGAGGGAUUUUUUUAAUAUAUUUGUUAACAAUAUUAUAUACAAUUGCUCCUAAUAAUAGUAACAGUAAUGAUAGUAGUAUGUAGGAGAUAAUAUUUUGAAGGGAAAGUUAACAAUAAUAAUAAAUUCUCAAAUUAGUAACAAAAUAUUUAAUCUGAAGUAGAUGUGUGUCAAUCCCCGGCAACGGCGCCAAAAAUUGGACGAAGCUUGUGUGUAUAGGAUUUUCUGCUCGUACUCUGUCAAAUUCUAGUAUAGUUUAUGAUAUCGUCCCACAGAGACUGGACAAUCUAAGCUAUAGACUUGUAAUAUUUUGACUACUAUUUGGGAGAACCAAAUUGAUGAAAGGUGUGUUUGAAAUUAUAAAUUAAGACAAUUUUCUUCCGAAAAGUUUAUAUUUAAAAAGAGUUGGGAAUCAUUGAAUUCACUUGAUAUAUCAUUACAAUAAAAUCUCGGUUUCAUACGUAUUUAUUUAAAGAAUAAUUGCUUAUUGCUAAUACAAUUAUAUUUUUAAACUAAGAAAUAAAUGAAUACUUAACACUCCGUGAGGUUAUGUCCAUUAAUUGAUUUAAAACUAAUGACGAUUAAACUGAAAUAUCUUGCCUGAAUUGUGCUCAAGCGUAGUAAAAACUUCGUGAGCUUAUUUUUACUAGAAAAUCAAUAAUCUUGCCUUCAACAAUUCCUCCAUGCGAAUUAAAACUGAGGAAAGCAAGAUUACAGACUCGAAAUAAUAAUCUUAAGGAAAAUUACUUUCACUCUAAUAUUCUAUGCUCAAGUGUAGUGUCACGACCCAAUUUCACUUCAGGUCGUGAUGGCGCCCAACACCGUUGUCGGGCAAGCCAACGCGGAAAUAUUGAUAAGUUCUAGUUUUACUUUUUCCAAAACAGUUACCACAAUCUCUAAGUUUGAAUUUAAAACAAGCAAUAAUUAACAUCGUACCAUAAUAGUUAUACAAUCCAAACAAAAAAUAGUCUACUAAUAUCUGUGCCAAGACCUGGUAUCACAAGUAUGUGGGCAUCUAGUAGGAUAUACGAAAGAAUAAUUCUAUCAUACUGUCUGAAAUAGAAUAGACAGCCAAAAGGAAAGAAAGACUUCAUCGGGCUGCUGAACAGCAUAGGAAGGGAGCAGCUCAUCGUGGAAUCUCGGGCUGGAUCAAGAGUAUGCACCAGCCUGGUAACUAGAUGUACCUGCCUCAGCUCUUGUACAAUUAAGUACGGAAGUGUAGUAUGAGUAUAUAAACAGUAUGUACCCAGUAAGUACCUUGUCUAAUCUCGAAGAAGUAGAGACGAAAGGUCGACUUGACACUUACUAGGGUCAAAUAAUAUGAGAAAGUAUUAUACUAAGCAUGGAUAGCACAAAUGAUUAACAAUUUAUAGCAAGGAGUAACAAGUCCUUUCCUAGAUGAUAUCACAGUUAUCCAUUUACAUUUCAGGGCACAUAACAAAAUUCAGUUCACAGUAAUAUAUCGAGCAAGAAGCAUACGCAAGUAGUGCCGAGGUUGUACGACCUGAUCCAACAUAAAAAUAAAGUGUGCACUGCCGAAGGGUCGAACGGCACGAACCAUAGAUGCAUCCAUUACCCCGCUCGCGAAUCAUACAUGCUAUGCGGUCAAAUUUAAUUAAACACAACAAUAGGCAAACAAGAAUAUAUAUAUCAGAAGAGCAAUUACUCACAGAAAUAUCAACUUCUCUUUAAAAGGGCCAAGAAAACGAUGUUCCUCUUAUUAGUUUCAUUUACCACAUUCAACAUGAUUUAAGCAAUAAAAAUUAAUCAUAAAGUUACAAGAAUAUCACAUAAAGCAUGAUUUUGGGUCCUAGACUACCCGGACUUAAGCACAAUAGUGGCUACGCAUGGACUCUCGUCACCUAGUGCGUACGUAGACCCCGCAUUUAGUGGCAAAUUAUUCAAUUAUUACACCUAUGGGGACAAUUCCCUCUUACAAGGUUAGAUAGGAGACUCACCUCGCUCCAAAGCGCACUCCCAAUAUCAAGAACGUGCUCAAACCCUCAAUUUGGAGCCGAACGAACCGAAAGUAAUUAAACGAGUUAGGAAAGAGUCAAUACAAGUUCAAGAGUUCGCAUUUCAAUUACUAAUGUAAUUUUCCAACACUAAACACAAGUUUCCUAAAAUCUGACCCCGGGCCCACGUGCCCGGAUUCCGAAACUUUUCGAAGAAAGAUGUUCUUUAUAACCUAAGGAUCAAUAAUAUAUGAUUUCUACUUCAUUCUAUAAUAAAUUUCGUGGUUAAAUCCAACUUUUAUCAAAACCCUAGGUUUUGCUCUAAUCCCAUGAUUUUCUUUAAUCUUUGUGUGUUAAUAUACCCGAGGUUCAAGUAUUAAACUACAAAUAAAUAGGAUGAACUUACCUCAAGAUGCUAUGUGAAAGUCUUUUCUCAAGAGCUCCAAAAUCGCCCAAUAAAUGAGUGAAAAUGAGCAAAAAUGGCUUAGAGCCCAUAAAAAAUGCAGGUCACUGGUUCAGUGAUUUCCACAUCUGCGGUCCUGGGCCGCACCUACACCCACCGCAUCUGAGGAAAGGUGUCCGCGUCUGCGAAAAUUCAGCUGGGCCACUGGGCUUCUUCUGCGGGAAGCAACCGCUUCUGUGGAAGCUUAGUCGCUUCUGCGGCUUUUGGCUUGGCCUGCCUUAGCCGCUUCUACGAGAGAACGACCGCUUUUGCGGUCUCGCACCUGCGGCUGACCAACCGCAGGUGCCGUUAUGACAGAGUACUGGAGCUUCAGCUCCUUCCCAAGUUUUUCAACUUCACUCUAGCCUUGCCCGAUUGACGCUCGGGGCCCACUGGGCCCCGCCCAAACAUAUCAACAAGUUUGAAAUCAUAAAACGGACUUGCUCGAACCCUCAAAAUGCCCGAAACAACGCUAAAUCUAAGAAUCACCCUCUAAAACCAAUUAAAUCAAACUUAUGAACAAUAGUACUAACGUCCCUUUUGCCGGGGGCGCUACAUCUUUAAAUGGAUAUAGGUGGCUCCAUAGCAGAUAGUGCUGAUCGCAGCUAGUGGCACGUCCUCUUUCUAGCUGACUUGGUGAGCCCCACAUUAUUUCAGGGACCUAUAUAUUUUGUAUCUUAUGUUCACCUUCUCACCAUCUUUUGAGGUAUAGCUGGGGCCUUGUUGUCGGCACUUUUAUAGCAUUUUCUUUGUAUCUACUUAGAGGCUCCGUAGACAUUUACGUGGGUUGUGUAUAGGUGUUGGGAAAGUCAAUAAAAAGCGGUAAAAGAUAAAUGUACAUAGGUUUUAAAAUGAGUAAUCAGACAAUUUAAUUAAGCCGAGUAUGAUUAAAGCGACUGUGCUAAACCCACUUAACCUGGGAAUGCCUAACACCUUCUUCCAGGUUAACAGAGUUCCUUACCCGUAUUUCUGUGUUUCGCGGACUGUAAAAUAGAGUCAAUUUUUCUCGAUUCGGGAUUUUAAACCGGUGACUUGGGAAACCAUAAAUUAUCCCAAGUGGUGACUCUGAAUUUGAAUAAAUAAUCCUGUUUUGAUUAUUAUUGCUUUAAUUGGAAAAACUCAUUUAUAUCCCUUUCGGGUAAAAAGGAGGUGUUGACAGCUUUGGCGACUAUUCUGGGGAACAAGAACCCAGAAUCUCUGGUUUCUAGAUUCAGAAUUCGAGCUUGUUAAUAUGAUCUAUGCUUGGUUUUAUUGUUUGUUGAUAUUACUGUAUUUGUGGACCUGAUGCGCUAAUUGCCGCUUAUUUUACUGUUUUGAUAUUAUUUGAAUUGUAUUAAAUUGUCUUCUUAUGCCUCCCUUCUGAGUCUUCUAAAACUACGGUGAACACAUACGCGUGCCCACUUUUAUGUUAGAAGUCAUACCAAAUAGAAUGAGGCUUGGGUCAACAACAAGCCCAGGUAGACUUUCGUGCUCCCGGUACAUUGCCUCCACCUCGGCUCGAGCUAUCCGCUCGGGUAAGCUAGGUCUAGAUCACAACCCCAGGUUUAAACCUAGAAUAACAUAGCCUCAUGCUGGAUCCCUAGUAGGAAUGUUUGUUUGCAUCAUGUGCAUUUGACUUUGGGGACUCAAUACAGGGGUUGGGUCCGUCUAGGACAGGUGUACCCAAAAAUAAAAAAUCAUCCCGAUGCAUCAUAUGUGCUACAUGUUCCAUUCUUCAAAGGUAAAAAUUGGUCAUUUGGUAGACCAAUGAUGAUUGAGGGUAAAUGAGAGAGAAAAGAGGGUGGAGUGUGAAAAUAAAGAAAAUAGGGCCCAGUUAUAUUUUUCUUUCAUAUUUUUUUAAGAAGAAGAUGAAAAAAAUAAAAAUAAAUAAAUAAUCUCAAAAAAGAUUUUGGACUUUCCCAUCAUUUUCCGAAAAAAAAAUCAAAAAAAAGGGAAAAUAAAAUCCAAAAAGAGUUUACAUGUUUCAUCAUUUUUCAAAAAAAGACAAAAAAUAUGUUUUCUCCAAAUCAGUUAUUUUUUUUAUUCUCGCCCGUAUCCAAUCUUCCCGAACUACACAUACAUAAUUCUCGUCUUUCGGGGCGAGAUACGUAGGUAGCCCACAUAGGAUCCGGUCUUCCUAGUGAGUCUUAGAUUCUUGGGUUCGCGGGGGUCUUAGCCAAAUCUUGCAUGUCUAGCCACUUUUGGCCACAUCGGUCAUUCUUGCAAAAAUUGGGUCAUUUGCCCAAAAGUGGUUCAAUGACCCAUGUCUUAAAAUCUUGAGUCCACAACUAGGUGUCAUAUUACUUUAAGGUCCGUCCUUUUUUUGAGUUUGCAUCUUUAGUCUCUUCUAGCCAUAUCGGCCAUUCUUGCAAAAUGGGUCAUUUUUGCAAAUUAAUUUUGGGCCAUGAUUAUUGGGAGUUUGAAUCCACAUAAGCUUUAGUGAGGUAUUUCCAUGUCUAUGAGGUCACCUUUGAUGAGUUUGCGCUAAUAAGCCAUGAAGGUUAAUUUAAAAAAAAAUGCCACAAUCAUGCCUUGCAUGUGUCUAAUAAAGAGUGUUAUUGUCUCACAUAGUAUUCUAAGUCGUUAACUCUAUUUGGUCUUAUUUUUCUCAUACAGGUGUGGAUCUAGUUACCAGAGCUUGAGCAUGACAGACACCCUAGGACCAUCUAGACAGGAUACUGCAUUCAAGAGCUGGCUUAAGGAGACUUUUUAUGUUUUGAGUUUGUUUUUUUAUGUUGUCUUGUUCUUUAAACUCAUGUCCGGCAGUACUGGUUCUUUUGGUUGGUUUCAAAGUUUAUCAUAGUAUAGUUGAGUUUGUCGAGUCUCUCAUUAUCAUACUUUCUACGAUGUAUUUGAAAACCAAAAAAUUUAUAAAUGAAAAUCCAAAAGAUUUUUUGUUUUAGUUUAUUACAUUUCCAGAACUACACUUGAUCUGAUUCAUAGGGGACAUGAUACGUAGGCAAACUACAUAGGGUUCGAUCGAAUCAUCAUUAAAUAAAAAAUCAUAAAAAAGCAACAACAACAACAAAAAAAGAGAAAAAAGAGAAUAAAGUUGUGGGACAUGAGAAAUGAGUGGAAAGAAAAGAGUGAUAAGCAAAAGAAUAGAAGAGAAAGGAAAUAAAAAACCAAGCGGUGAUAGAAAGGAAAAUGAAGAAGGAAACGGGGCAAGAAGAGUGAAAUUGGGAUGAUGUCAUCUGACCUUCGUACCCUCGAAGUCAUUUUAGAACCGAUAACUGUGACUAGGUGCAAUGCACAUAAAGUGAGAUUAUCUUAUGUUAAAUGCCCUAACGCUAACAUAAUGACUUUAUUUUGUUCAUCUUUGUUACCUUCAUUACAGCAGAAGGGUGGUUGGUUUGUGGUUCUUAAAGUGGUAACUCUUCUCUACAACAUAAAGUUGAACGGCAAUGGUAGAUGACAACAGAAUUGAGUUGGUUGAUACUGGUGCCCAAAAGCAAUUGGUUGAACAGGACAAUGGGUUGGUUGAAGAGGCAAGGAUGUUAAGACAACACAUGAUGGAUAUGUAGCAGGAUUGAUGACUGGGAAGGCACCACCCUAGCCACCACCUAGCUUCCUAGAUGCUACCCUUACCCAAACUCCGGUAAUAGUGCCAGAUGAUCCCCAUACUCUCCAGAUUCUCCCGCUUAUCACAGCCUUCCCAACCACCCUAGUAGCUCCAUCACUCGUCCUCCAACCACCUUUCCCGAAAAUUGCCCUCCUGUCAUAUCCACUAUCCUCACGAUCACAACUUCUCAACAAUCUUCCCUUUAUAGAUCCAACAAUGAACACCCAUUCAAAACUCUUGAUGCCCAAUAUUACCCCUCACGGGUUGCCCACAAGGUCCCUGACUCAUACAAUCAUAGCCCUCGGAAUGAGCCUCAUGUUAAAAAUGAAAACUUCACAGGAAAAGAAGGGCGGGAUGAGAUAUCUAGGAAGCUGAAAGGUAUAGAACAUUCCUUAAGGAGCAUGCAAGGGAUGGGAAAUCAGAUUAACAUGUCUUACAAUGACUUGUGUAUGUUCCCUGAUGUUCAUCUGCCCGCAGAGUUUAAAACCAAAGUUUAACUUGUAUGAUGGGCAUAGAGAUCUAGUAUCCCAGCUAAGGGGUUAUUGUAGUGAAAUGAGAAGUGUUGGCAGGAAAGAUGAUUUGUUGAUGGCGUAUUUCAGUGAGAGCUUGAGUGGGGAAACCUUGGAAUUGUAUACUCAUCAAGAUGUCAAGAAGUGGCAUGCAUGGGAUGACAUGGCUCAAAAUUCUGUUCGAUACUUUCAGUACAAUCUAGACAUUAUCCCAAACCACUCCUCCCUGUCUAAGAUGGAAAAGAAACCGAAGGAAUGUUUUAGGGAGUUUGGACUCAAAUGGAGGAACCAAGAUGCUCGGGUCAGUCUCCCGAUUGGUGAAGAAGAAAUGGUUGAGAUUUUCCUACAAGCCUAGGGGGCCACCUACUUCAGUCAUUUGAUCCCGGCCUUGGGUAAACCUUUCAAUGAUGUGGUAAAAAUAGGGGAGAUGGUAGAAGAGUGAAUUAAGUCACCCAAAAUCAUUAGUUAUUCUGCAUUGAAAGAUACUACAGAAGACAUUCAGAACAUCUCCGUAAGUUUGGGUGGAAGAAAGAGAAAUAGAAAAGAUGUUGUUGAGACCCGCCAACGACAGGAUCUAGUGGGCAUUCCUGCUCAACGCUUUCAGCCUCAAUAUCGACCUCAUGGAUAUCUAUGUGCUCCAAAUAAUCCUCCCCAAUGCUACUUAUCUCCACAAAAUCCCCAAAGUCAUACCUCACCUUCCCAGUACUCCAUCCACAAUGCACCACCAUAUGCUCCACAUCCACAGGACUUGCGAUGGCCUGCACCAUUUCUGCAAAUAUCUUACCCACCUCCUCAAGCAUAUCAACCACCUACCCGCAAAAGGUUCCAACCGAGGCCAGCGUACAAAAUGAAAAGGCAAUAGGAAAAAACAAAAAGACUUUCACUCCUAUUGGAGAAUCAUAUGCCAGUUUGUUCCAAAGGUUGAGGCAAUUGGACAUGUUGAAGCCGAUUCAGAUAAAAAUAUCGAACCCUCUUCCAAAGAAUUUUUAUUAUUCUCAAAGGUGCGCAUAUUUCUCUAAUGCCUCGGGUCACAGCAUAGAAAAGUGUUGGCAUCUGAAAAGAGCAGUUCAAAAGCUUAUUGAUGCAGGUGAAAUUGUCAUGCAAAAUCCAGAUGUAGUAGACACUAGCCAAAGUCCAUCGUAUGUCCAUAAUGAGACGCAUAUGAUGGGUAUGAUUUGUGUUGAAAAGGAAUAUAAUAACUUUUCUGAGAUCCUCGGAGGGCCACUUGCCGCAAAGCUUUCAGUGCUAUCAGUCUCAAUUCUGAAAUUUAAUCUUAAGAACGAGCCGGCAAUGGAUACUUGUGAAGGUCCCAGUAUUGUUAAUGCAGAACUCAGUGGCUAAGAUGUUGAGCUUGGUGAUUGGAAAUAUGCUCCUUUCUUGGCUAGCCAGGAAGGAGUUUUGGUGGUUUAUUUUGUUGUUAUUUUCUGUUGUCCGAUUUAUUUCAGGGUUGUAAUCCGGAUAUUAUCUUGUGGCUCAAACCCUUCUAUCCUUUUAUUUUGCCUAGUCUGUUUAAUCGUAGUAGCUCAUUUAGUGUUAUCUAGGAUUAUUCCAGGGUUGUAACCCCAGUUUAGUUUUCUUGUUUUGUAAUUAGAACCCUUUCUCCGUCUGUUUAAUGUAAUCUCUUGUUUUUUUAUUUCUAGUUUGUAUUUGUUUAGUUCUCCUUUUCUUUUAUAGUUCUUUUCAUGGUGACUCUAGUGGCAUGACAUGCAUAGGGAAAUAAGUAAAGAUUUAGAUAUUUUGAGAUCAUUUAAAGCCCGAAUUGUAUGAAACUGGGGGCAGAUGGUUUGGGAAGUUAAGUGGACAACAAGAAUUUGUUACAAGAACGUGCGUCCCAGACAAUUAGAAGCAAGCAACUUUGAGUUCAAGUGCAUCUCAAGUUACAGCAUAAAGCCAAGGGAGUUUGCUCCAAACUGACGGAGCACAUCCAUUUUGAAGAAGAAAUCACCCAAGAAGAGCUCUGUACUUGACAAGGCACUAAAGAAAGGUGGAAGGCAUAUCUGUGAUACCAAUGCCGAUGUUGCAAAAGAAAUGUGCAUGAUGUUUAUAUUUAAUCUUCAAGUUGCAUAUGUUAUACUUGGUAUUCUUAGAUAAUGGGAGACCCUCCUUCAGCUAUCCAAACACUUUAUACCCUUUGGUACCCCUUUGAGCCUGUGCUGAUUUCUUUGACCCCCCUCUUUUGGAAUCAAGUUAGAGUCAUAAAAAAAACAUGUGCCCAUAGAUUUGUUUUAGAAAAUUCAUUCCAAAAGAAAAAGAAAAAAAUAAAAAAAAAAGAGAGAUAAAGAAUAAAAAUAAAAGAAAAAGAAAAACAAGAAGAAAAGAAAAAAAGAAAAAAAUAUGGCAACAAAAAAACAAAACAAGAAUUAGUUGUGAACUACGUUCGACCUGAUUCUUGUUACCACAAGAUACGUAGGUAGCCUUACGGUUCAGUCGUACCAAAUAAAAUAUUUCAUAAUCCCACGAAGUCAAGAGUGGGGCGGUUUUUCGUAGAAUCAAAUUCUGCUGAUUUAGAAAUUGGGGCAAAGUUUUGAAAUGGAUUCCAAAAGUUGUAAAUAAAUUAACCCUGUUAUCUUAGUUAUUUUGAGUCUUUAUAAUAUCCUUUCUUUCUAACCCUGUCCAAAAGCCACAUUACAGUCCAAAAAAGACUUCUCAAAUAAUCUUUGAGAGUGGUGAGUUUAGACAUGCCAAGAGCAUAUGAUAUUUUUACCAUGAUUAAUGCCUUAUCAUCUGCAGAAUCAGAGGAAAUAAGAAGAAAAGAACAAAAUGAGAAAGUCUUAUUGGUGAAAACCUUCACAGUCACCAUAAGGCGAUGGUGAGUUGAGAGAAAAAAACAAAAUGAGAGAGGAUUGAUGGUAAAAACCCUUCGGGCACUACAAGUCGAAUAAGGAUCGUGAAUCAGAUAGGAUAAUCGGAGCAUUGAAGCCCAGUUUCACGGUGAAGAGGUACAACAAGAGUUGAAUAUUAGACUUGCUUGGCAAAUUAGGCUACUUAAUCCAAAAGUGCAUGUCAUAGUCAUUAGAGUUGGUAUCCAUAUCUGAUAAGUUUCUACUUGGUGAUUUUCCUGUUAGAUAUCAUUUCUUUCCAUUGUCCCCUUACUAUGUUCCUCUUGAUUUGUUUAAGUCCUCUUCUUGAGUCUGUUUUAUCAAAACAAGUGAGAAAUGACUUCAAUAUUUGCCACCAACUUUCCAAUUGCACAAAGCGGAGUCUGGCUAGUACAUCAAAGUGGCUUAAGUCAGGAAAGAGUAGUAUGCGCACUCUGUUGGUGACAAUUGACGUGCUUUGGGAUUCAUGUGAAAUACAAAGGUGCGGUAUAUGUCAAUUCAUGAACAUAAUGAACUAGAUAGAGGGAUUUUGGAUUUGAACGGAUCAUAGGUGUUUUCAUUGAUAAGGGUUUACUGGGAAAGUAGUUAGUCAAUAAACAAGCAAGGUAUUUCAAGUUGAAAUCAAAGUUAUCAUGGCAAGUGAAGGAGCAAUCGCCCUCAAAGUUAAGGCUACAAACCAACCGCUAUGUUUAAACUCACAAGUUUUCUUUGUUUGAAACAGAGACGAAGACUAUGUCCAAAUCAAAGCUUGGAUGCUUGAAAUUUUCAAGUGCAGUGCCCAAAUUUGGUUAGCACAAAGGUUGUUUGAGAAGGUUUUUACUUGCUAGGCAUUCCCUAGUUGAGAUGGCCAUUACCUCCUAUUAAUUCUCCUUAGUAAGAAGAGUUUUUAGUUUUCCUUAAGUUCUGGGGUCUCGCCUGCAUAAUAGGGUUAGUUUUAGUUUCCUUAAAUUAUUAAUCUUUAGCAUUCCUUAAGUUCAGGGGUCCCGCCUGGAGAAUAGAGUCAUUUUUAAUUUUCUUAAGUGGUUAAUCUUUAGUUUUUCUUGAGUUCAGGGAUCCCUCCUGGAGAAUAUAGUCAGUUUUUAGUUCCCUUAAGUUAAGUUCAGGGAUCCCGCGUGGAGAAUAGGGUCAAUUUUAGUUUUCUUAAGUUGUUAAUCUUUAGCAUUCCUUAAGUUCAAGAGCCCCGCCUGGAGAAUAGGGUCAUUUUAAUUUUCUUAAGUGGUUAGUCUUUAGUUUUCCUUGAGUUCAGGGGUCCCGUCUGGAGAAUAGGGUCAUUUGUUAGUUUCCUUAAGAUUUCAAUAUUUCAGUAUUUUGUUUCUCUUAAAGUUCAGGGGUCGCAUCUGGAGAAUAGGGUCAAUUGUUAGUUUCCUUAAGUUUUCAAUCUCUUAGUUUUCUUGAGUUCAGGGUCCUGCCUGAAGAAUAGGGGCAGGUUUUAAUUUAGUCAAGCUUAGCUUAUAAUUUUCCUUAAGCUGGAUCUCACAGGAGACGCACAUCUUAGUCGAGUUUUUAGUUUUACCCUCAUCAUUGCAUCCUUUAUCAAUAGCAUAGGUGAUUUAUAGUUUCGCUAACAACUCACAAAUCUUCCUAGUGCAAAUUGGGGCAGAAAAUUUUGUUUGUUUUGUUGUUUUUGAUUGCAGGCAUCCACCUAGAGAACGAAGGGCAACAUUUCAGAAAUCGGUAUUAGGUCCAAGUCAAAGAAGCCCCAGGAACCUGCCUGAAGAACGGGGUCAACUUUCAAUUUCAUUCGAGAUCAAGCAGGAGGAUACCACCUGCAGAACGAGGGUCAAUAUUUCAGAAAUUGGUUUCAAAUGCAAGUUAGAGAAGCGUCAGGAGCCCGCUUGAAGAACAUGGUCAACUUUGAGUUUACAAGUUCAAGUCAGGGAGGCAUCAGGAGCCCGUCUGAAGAACAUGUUCAUUUUUCAAUUUCAAGUUAGAGAAGCAUCUGGAGAAUCCCGUCUGAAGAACCGGGUCAAUUUUCAGUUUACAAUUUCAUGUCAGGGAGGCAUCAGGAGCCCGCCUGAAGAAUAGGGUCAACUUUCAGUUUUCAAGUUCAAGUCAAAAUCAAACAGGAGGAUCCUGCCUGAAGAGCAGGGUUAACUUUCAGUUUUCAAGUUCGAAUCAGAGGCAUCAGGAGCCUGCCUGAAGAACAGGGUCAACUUCCAGUUUUCAAGAUUUAAGUCAAAGACAGCAGGAGUCCGCCUGAAGAACAGGGUCAACUUUCAGUUUUCAAGAUUCAAGUCAAAGACAGCAGGAUCCCGCCUAGAGAAUAGGGUCAAUUUUUAAUUCAAAUCAGAACUAGCACGAGCUGCUUGAGGAACAAGAUUUUCAAACUCAAGUCUACUCCAAUUUCAAGUUUAUUUAAAGUGCAAGCAACAUGAUGCUCGAUUGAAGAAUAGGGUCAACCUUCAGUUUUCUUUAAAUUCAAGUCAGCAGGAUGCCCACCUGAAGAAUGGGGUGAAUUUUCAGUUUCAUGUUGAAGGAGCAAGUGGAGAUUCAAAGAAGAUUCAAGACAAGAAGUGGAUAGGAUCUUGUGUUUUUCUUUUAUUUUUGCUGUAAUUUUUCCUUUUAUUUUGAUGUAAUGGCAGGAACCACAGACCGGAACCUCGACGACACUUCACUCGACUCUCCACCUCCGUAUACCCUAUCACUGUUCCUGCUUUUGAACUACAUGUGACCUGAUUCCUUUAUAGCCAAGGAUAUGUAGGCAACUCAAAUACCAGGGCUCGGUCUCAUUCUCCUUUCUUUUAGUUUUUGGUCUCUCUAAAUAAAGGUCAGGUCAAGAAACAUGUCUCAUCGUUCUUUAUCUGAAAACUCUUUGUGUUUUCAGUCAAAGAGGGGCAGCUGUAGACAUGUAAUUUUGACCUUCCCUAAGAUUUUACAUAUUUUAGCAUAUAAAUAUUUAGUUUAGGCCUAAUGUUGCUAUUUUAACUAGUUACUCUUUUACUUUAUUUUGUCACGAAAAUAAAAAUUACAAAAAAAAAUAUUUUCUUUUAUUUAAGUAAUUGAUAUUUUAUCUUGUUACUUUUAAUUUAUCUACCUUUCAUAAAAUUCAAAAAUACAAAAAUAGUUCCACUUUGUUUUUUGGAAUAUUAGUAGUUUGGUAGGGAUAUUAUUUUAAUUUUGCAUGAUUUUAAUCUAAUUCCAUUUUUAUCUUUUAGUAUGAUAUUUGAAAAAUACCAAUAAUAGGUUUGUUUUAACGGUUAGUUUUAUUUUAAUAGUUAUUUUACUUAAGUAGGAUUAAUUAGUAAAUGGGGUAGUAUUUUUAGUCUUGUUCAAUGAGGAAGAACAAAAUUUGGGCUCAAACAAUCCACUUUUUAGGCCCAAUUUUCGAAUUAGCCCAUUAAGGCCAAUACCUAAUACCACCUAAGCUAACCCUAUAGACCCUUCUAGACACUCAUCUUCCUCUCUUAACUAAAAAUACCCUAAACAUACCUAACUAAAAAUACCCUUAAAAAAAUGGAGCCGCAUAACACAAAAAAGGGACCCUCUUCUUCUUCCUUCCUUAACAAAAACCCUAGAGCUGAAACCCUUCUUCGUCACGCACACACAACCGUCCACCACACCCCUCCCAGCCGUGACCCUCACCCAAAGAACACCCCCUACAUCUUCUUCUUCACCCCAUCUCCAGCCACCAAACCCGUCGAAAAUCUGCACCCUAACCACCACAGCUUGCCGGAGAAGAACCAGCCAUAGCCCCUCCCUCCUCUAUUAUCUUUCAGUUGUCGUUCCCCCAUCCCAUCACCACCAGCGACCCCUCUUAUUCUUCUUUAUUCCUAAGAAUUCCAGCCGACGACUCCUCCAUCUCUAAUGCCGGCGAAGACCUUCAGUCCAAAAACGAGAGAAAUAGAGGCUGAAAAUAGUGAAGAAAAAUGAAAAAAAACAAAGCUGAAAAUAGCAAAAUGUCCAAAAGCUCAUUUAGUAUCCUUUUUCGAUGAGCCUCAAGUUUUCAAUUGAGUUUAGUGACUAUUUCUAUUGUUCCCUGGUUGAAGUCCGUUCGAGGUGUGGUCUGUUGGUUUUGUUCGAGUUCGAUCGUUGUUCGAGUUUCACUCAUAGCUGUGCUUUCCAUCUGUUGUAGCUGCUGUAAUUUUUCUUCAAUUGAAAUUUUCUUCAGAAGCUGCGUAGUAGAGAUAAUUAAAGGUACCAGUAGAUUCAAUAGCAAUUCUUAACUGAUGUUGCCAAGAAAGCCAAGGCAUUCUUCCAUUGGUGGUUCAUUCGAGGUUGUGUAUCCGGGUUCCAAUCGUUUGAGGUUUAUUUCUCCCUUAUUUUGCUGAUUUGCUUAAUAUCGUGCUUUCCUUUGUUUUCCUGGAUCGUUUCUUCAUUAAGAGAUAGAUGUUUAAUGCAUGAUGUUUAACAUUUUGGUGUUUUCGGAGUUAAAUUGACCUAUUAAGUAAAAUUGGGCAGUGGAGUUGGGUAUUAAAAUAAAAGAUGAUGUGCU